RNAcentral lists this ribosomal RNA (464 nucleotides) under uncultured bacterium. RNAcentral's name for it is "bacterial SSU rRNA". It matches the Rfam family "Bacterial small subunit ribosomal RNA", at positions 26 to 507 of the family's 1533-position model. The record is from RNAcentral.
AGGACGAACGCUGGCGGCGUGCUUAACACAUGCAAGUCGAACGAUGAAGCUGGAGCUUGCUCCGGUGGAUUAGUGGCGAACGGGUGAGUAACACGUGAGCAAUCUGCCCUUGACUCUGGGAUAACUGCGGGAAACUGUAGCUAAUACCGGAUACGACACCUUGGGGCAUCCCAGGGUGUGGAAAGAAUUUCGGUCAAGGAUGAGCUCGCGGCCUAUCAGCUAGUUGGUGAGGUAAUGGCUCACCAAGCCGACGAUCGGUAGCUGGUCUGAGAGGAUGAUCAGCCACACUGGGACUGAGACACGGCCCAGACUCCUACGGGAGGCAGCAGUGGGGAAUAUUGGACAAUGGGCGCAAGCCUGAUCCAGCAAUGCCGCGUGAGUGAUGAAGGCCUUAGGGUUGUAAAGCUCUUUCGCACGUGACGAUGAUGACGGUAACGUGAGAAGAAGCCCCGGCUAACUACGUG